Molecule: long non-coding RNA, 1042 nt
Filed under: Mus spicilegus (steppe mouse)
Lineage: Eukaryota; Metazoa; Chordata; Mammalia; Rodentia; Muridae
Description: lncRNA (ENSMSIG00000025492.1)
Source: RNAcentral
GGGAACAACAGAUUUCCAGCUUCUACGACGCUCUGCCUAAAUUAAAAAGCAACCAAUCGGAACGGCCGGAAGGGGGGCCAGGCGUCCUAAGCCAGUCAUUCCAGGCUUGCCAAUCACCCAGCGGGUAGCCAAUCAGCAGGGGCCCUGGUGCUCGACUUCCUUGUUUUUGGGAAAGUGUGGUGGUGGGUGCGCGCUUGCGGCGGAGGGUAAACAUUCGACAGUCCCUGCUCUGAGAGGGAGGGACGGAGAGCGAACUGUCAGAUCCUAGCGGGAGCGGGCGCUCGAGAGAAGGAGAGAGAGAGGGAGAGAGAGAGAGAGUGAGAGAGAGAGGGAAAGUGAGACAGAGAGAAAGAGAGAGAAUCCGGGCGCAGAGCUAGCUCCGGCUGCAACUCUGCCCCGGCACGCCUGCUCCCGCGCCCGCCGUCGGGUACUCUAGGAGCGGUACAACGUGCCCACAGGAGUUGGUUGUGUAUCAAGGAUUCCCUGUAUGCACACACACAUCUCCACCUCCACCAAUGCACUCUUCUUCCUCCUCCUUCUCCAGACAACUGCCGGGGAAAAAUUAAAACAUCAACCCCAACCUUCAGCAACAAGGAAAGAUGUCGCACCAGACUGUGAGUGUCGCGAGGAACAUGAAAAGGGACUCUUGUUUCAGAGACGUCCAAGAGCUCCGGCAAUAACAACUUCAGAGAAAUGCACCAUCGCAAGAAGUUUUCCUAGGACAAAACAAAACUUGAAAGAAGCGAACCAGGGGGGCAGAACAGGAGCCAGCCUCCCCACUCCGCAGACGCGAGCCGCCAGCAUCACCACGCCUGUAAGGACCGGAAAAGUUUUACUAUAGUAAGGGGAAACAGUAAGCUGUGUUGCUGAAGAUCAGGGAAGACAGCGGACCAACUAGGAGCGGCCGGAUUGCUGGCCACCCACAAUUUGGCCAAGGAAGAAAGGAACCGCUUCGUCCUUUGUUGUCUCCCGUGAAACCUUCGCUUAGCAGGUGGACAGAGCCCUGUGCCGGGCCAGAGUCCGCACUCGUCCGAGGACAGGA